GAUGAACGCUGGCGGCGUGCCUAACACAUGCAAGUCGAGCGAACAGACGAGGAGCUUGCUCCUCUGACGUUAGCGGCGGACGGGUGAGUAACACGUGGAUAACCUACCUAUAAGACUGGGAUAACAUCGGGAAACCGGAGCUAAUACCGGAUAAUAUAUUGAACCGCAUGGUUCAAUAGUGAAAGACGGUUUUGCUGUCACUUAUAGAUGGAUCCGCGCCGCAUUAGCUAGUUGGUAAGGUAACGGCUUACCAAGGCAACGAUGCGUAGCCGACCUGAGAGGGUGAUCGGCCACACUGGAACUGAGACACGGUCCAGACUCCUACGGGAGGCAGCAGUAGGGAAUCUUCCGCAAUGGGCGCAAGCCUGACGGAGCAACGCCGCGUGAGUGAUGAAGGUCUUCGGGUCGUAAAACUCUGUUGUUAGGGAAGAACAACUGUGUAAGUAACUAUGCACGUCUUGACGGUACCUAAUCAGAAAGCCACGGCUAACUACGUG
Molecule: ribosomal RNA, 497 nt
Filed under: uncultured bacterium
Lineage: Bacteria
Description: partial 16S ribosomal RNA
Rfam family: Bacterial small subunit ribosomal RNA
Source: RNAcentral